This is a long non-coding RNA of Bufo gargarizans (Asiatic toad), 501 nucleotides long. RefSeq lists it as uncharacterized. The transcript has 4 exons. Lineage: Eukaryota; Metazoa; Chordata; Amphibia; Anura; Bufonidae. The record is from RefSeq and is a predicted model, not a curated record.
CAUCAUCACAGGUCUUUUACCUCCCCCAGCAACACAGUUUUCAGCCUGACUCCUCCCACACAGGAUCACAUGUCAUGACAUCACCGCAGGUCCUUUAGCCCACUACUCUUUUCCAGCUCUGGUGCAGGUUACUACAAUAUAGGAUCUGCACAGUGGAUAUCUUCUAUAUAAGAUCCUUCUCCUGAUUGAUGCAUCAAUGAUGGACAGGGACAAGAUGGCGGAGAGUAUAAUAAAUCUCACCCUAGAGAUCCUCUACCGGCUUACUGGAGAGGACUACACAGUAGUGAAGACCUCUAGUGGGCGCUGUCAGGCCCCUGUGUCUGAAGGAUGGGGAGGAACCCUGAGCCCAAUCACAGGGCCUCCACCUCACCCCCUAAUAUAUGAGGAAAUCAAUACAGAGAAGAUCCUGAAACUCACCCACAAGAUAAUUGAGCUGCUGACUGGAGAGGUUCCUAUAAGGUGUCAGGAUGUCACCGUCUAUUUCUCCAUGGAGGAGUGGGA